CUUUCCAAUCUAAAUACUGCCCAGGUGA
This 28-nucleotide non-coding RNA is filed under the name Mus musculus (house mouse). Lineage: Eukaryota; Metazoa; Chordata; Mammalia; Rodentia; Muridae. The record is from RNAcentral.